Long non-coding RNA from Eriocheir sinensis (Chinese mitten crab), 1023 nucleotides. RefSeq lists it as uncharacterized. The transcript is spliced from 3 exons. The record is from RefSeq and is a predicted model, not a curated record. NCBI's taxonomy places the organism in Eukaryota, Metazoa, Arthropoda, Malacostraca, Decapoda, Varunidae.
UCUCUCCCUUUUUCUCUCUCUCUCAGACACAUACGACCUGGUGGUUAUCUCGGGCGCUAUGGGCGAAGGUCACAUCCCACUCUGUGGCCUCGACGACCUGGUGCGCGUCGCAAAGAACGGAGGCUUCGUGAUCAUCGUGAUGCGCCUUGAGUACCUACAGACCGCGCCUUCAUACAAGGACAAGCUGGAGCAUUACAUGGACCUCCUGGAGGCGGAAGAAGGUGGAGCGGCGCAUCGUCCCAAACUAUUUAUGUGACAAGGAGGGUCUCGUCUUCGUCUUCCGCAUCACUAAGCCUGAGUGAGGAGGAAGAGGAGGGAAGGGAAAGGAGAGAGAUGAGGAGGAGGAGUUAUAGUGGUGCUGUGCCAAGGCUUUCUCUGUGUAACAGCCUUGGCUUUCGUCGCGGCACCCGAGACUGAGGUGUGAAUUAUUGUGCUCUGGCAACGUGGUAUCAUGGCGUCUACGAUGUUAUACGAUAGUCUACGCAUAGGACACAUUUGUCAGUAUUAAUCAUAUUAGUGAAAUUGUCGCAAAAAUCUGUUUUAGUUUAUAAGGCUGAGGCUGCAGAAUGCUUAACCUCAGACCUUGCUAUCAUCUCCGAUUGGGAUAAAAGGAACCUUGGGUCCUUCAAUGCCUCAAAAACCCAAUUUCUCCACCUAUCAACUCGACACAAUUUUCCAAACACCUAUCCCCUAUUCUUCAACUACACAUCCUUAACACAAAAUCUUAACUGGAAACCUCCCAUCUCUUCUCUCAUUAAGUCAGCUUCCUCGAGGUUGGGCGUUCUGUAUCGUCUCCCAGUUCUUCUUCCCCGCACAGCUGCUAUCCAUAUACAGGGGCCUUGUCCGCCCUCGUAUGGAGUAUGCAUCGCACGUGUGUGGGGGGGCUCCACCCACACAGCUCUUUUCUUAUCUUUCGGCCACUCCUCUGUUGUUAAAAAAAAUGAGGUCGCUGAUUAUGUAGCUGUAUGUGUGUUUGCAUGUGUAAUGGCAAGUUGCCAGAACACGAUAACGAAGACCUCAGAC